Molecule: ribosomal RNA, 253 nt
Filed under: uncultured bacterium
Lineage: Bacteria
Description: partial 16S ribosomal RNA
Rfam family: Bacterial small subunit ribosomal RNA
Source: RNAcentral
UACGAAGGGGGCUAGCGUUGCUCGGAAUCACUGGGCGUAAAGGGUGCGUAGGCGGGUCUUUAAGUCAGGGGGGAAAUCCUGGAGCUCAACUCCAGAACUGCCUUUGAUACUGAGGAUCUUGAGUUCGGGAGAGGUGAGUGGAACUGCGAGUGUAGAGGUGAAAUUCGUAGAUAUUCGGAAGAACACCAGUGGCGAAGGCGGCUCACUGGACCGGUAUUGACGCUGAGGUGCGAAAGCGUGGGGAGCAAACAGG